Molecule: ribosomal RNA, 429 nt
Filed under: Gemmatimonadota bacterium
Lineage: Bacteria; Pseudomonadati; Gemmatimonadota
Description: Gemmatimonadetes bacterium partial 16S ribosomal RNA
Rfam family: Bacterial small subunit ribosomal RNA
Source: RNAcentral
UAGGGAAUCUUCGGCAAUGGACGAAAGUCUGACCGAGCAACGCCGCGUGAGUGAAGAAGGUUUUCGGAUCGUAAAACUCUGUUGUUAGAGAAGAACAAGGACGUUAGUAACUGAACGUCCCCUGACGGUAUCUAACCAGAAAGCCACGGCUAACUACGUGCCAGCAGCCGCGGUAAUACGUAGGUGGCAAGCGUUGUCCGGAUUUAUUGGGCGUAAAGCGAGCGCAGGCGGUUUCUUAAGUCUGAUGUGAAAGCCCCCGGCUCAACCGGGGAGGGUCAUUGGAAAAUGGGAGACUUGAGGGCAGAAGAGGAGAGUGGAAUUCCAUGUGUAGCGGUGAAAUGCGUAGAUAUAAGGAGGAACACCAGUGGCGAAGGCGGCGCUCUGGUCUGUAACUGACGAUGAGGCUCGAAAGCGUGGGGAGCAAACAGG